This 425-nucleotide unclassified non-coding RNA is filed under the name soil metagenome. Its description in RNAcentral is "partial contains 5.8S ribosomal RNA, internal transcribed spacer 2, and large subunit ribosomal RNA". The stretch from base 1 to 120 matches the Rfam family "5.8S ribosomal RNA", at positions 35 to 154 of the family's 154-position model. The record is from RNAcentral.
GAUGAAGAACGCAGCGAAAUGCGAUAAGUAAUGUGAAUUGCAGAAUUCAGUGAAUCAUCGAAUCUUUGAACGCACCUUGCGCUCCUUGGUAUUCCGAGGAGCAUGCCUGUUUGAGUGUCAUGAAACCCUCAAACCCAAGUUUUGGAUUUCGAUCCAUGCUUGAGUUUGGAUUUGGAUGUUUGUCGGUGAUGAACCGACUCAUCUUAAAAGUAUUAGCUUGGAUCUGUCUAUAUGACUGGUUUGACUUGGCAUAAUAAGUAUUUUGCUGAGGACAUCUUCGGAUGGCCAGGACCUAGACUACUGUCUGCUAACUAAACCAUCACUUUAAGUGCAUCUUUGGAUGUUACUCAUUGUGUAACUUUGACAUCUGGCCUCAAAUCAAGUAGGACUACCCGCUGAACUUAAGCAUAUCAAUAAGCGGAGGA